This 496-nucleotide ribosomal RNA is filed under the name uncultured bacterium. RNAcentral's name for it is "partial 16S ribosomal RNA". It matches the Rfam family "Bacterial small subunit ribosomal RNA", at positions 29 to 507 of the family's 1533-position model. The record is from RNAcentral.
AUGAACGCUUGCGGCGUGCCUAAUACAUGCAAGUCGAGCGAACAGAUGAGGAGCUUGCUCCUCUGACGUUAGCGGCGGACGGGUGAGUAACACGUGGAUAACCUACCUAUAAGACUGGGAUAACUUCGGGAAACCGGAGCUAAUACCGGAUAAUAUAUUGAACCGCAUGGUUCAAUAGUGAAAGACGGUUUUGCUGUCACUUAUAGAUGGAUCCGCGCCGCAUUAGCUAGUUGGUAAGGUAACGGCUUACCAAGGCGACGAUGCGUAGCCGACCUGAGAGGGUGAUCGGCCACACUGGAACUGAGACACGGUCCAGACUCCUACGGGAGGCAGCAGUAGGGAAUCUUCCGCAAUGGGCGAAAGCCUGACGGAGCAACGCCGCGUGAGUGAUGAAGGUCUUCGGAUCGUAAAACUCUGUUAUUAGGGAAGAACAAAUGUGUAAGUAACUAUGCACGUCUUGACGGUACCUAAUCAGAAAGCCACGGCUAACUACGUG